This 419-nucleotide ribosomal RNA is filed under the name Acidimicrobiaceae bacterium. RNAcentral describes it as "bacterial SSU rRNA". It matches the Rfam family "Bacterial small subunit ribosomal RNA", at positions 1 to 414 of the family's 1533-position model. The record is from RNAcentral. Lineage: Bacteria; Bacillati; Actinomycetota; Acidimicrobiia; Acidimicrobiales; Acidimicrobiaceae.
GAUCUCGACGGAGAGUUUGAUCCUGGCUCAGGACGAACGCUGGCGGCGUGCCUAAUACAUGCAAGUCGAACGAGAUCCCGGAGCUUGCUCCGGGGGACAGUGGCGAACGGGUGAGUAACACGUGAGAAACCUGCCCUAGAGACCGGGACAACCGUUGGAAACGGCGGCUAAUACCGGAUGCCUUCACACGGUCGCAUGGCCGAGUGAAGAAAUACUCAGGUGCUCUAGGAGGGUCUCGCGGCCUAUCAGCUAGUUGGUGAGGUAAUGGCUCACCAAGGCAUCGACGGGUAGCUGGUCUGAGAGGACGAUCAGCCACACUGGGACUGAGACACGGCCCAGACUCCUACGGGAGGCUGCAGCAGGGAAUAUUGUGCAAUGAACGAAAGUUUGACACAGCGACACCGCGUGUGGGAUGACGG